RNAcentral lists this microRNA precursor (132 nucleotides) under Prunus dulcis (almond). RNAcentral's name for it is "sRNA ncRNA". Lineage: Eukaryota; Viridiplantae; Streptophyta; Magnoliopsida; Rosales; Rosaceae. The record is from RNAcentral.
GGGUAGAUGAAAGGGGAGGAUGGGAGGGAGAAGUAACAAAAGUGAAAAACAAAAUUAAAAACUGAAAUCUAUUUGAAAUUGUUUUCACUUUUGUUACUCUCCUCCUUCCCAUCCUCCCUUCCCAUCCUCUCU